GAAUUUUGCGCAAUGGGGGAGACCCUGACGCAGCAACGCCGCGUGGGUGAUGAAGGCCUUCGGGUCGUAAAGCCCUGUCAGGUGGGAAGAAUGCCUCUGGGUUAAACAGGCUCAGGGGGUGACGGUACCACCAGAGGAAGCACCGGCUAACUCCGUGCCAGCAGCCGCGGUAAUACGGAGGGUGCAAGCGUUAUUCGGAAUUACUGGGCGUAAAGGGCAUGUAGGCGGAAAGACAAGUCUGAUGUGAAAGCCCGGGGCUCAACCCCGGAAGGGCAUUGGAAACGGUCUUUCUUGAGUACCGGAGAGGAAGGGGGAAUUCCCGGUGUAGAGGUGAAAUUCGUAGAGAUCGGGAGGAAUAUCAGUGGCGAAGGCGCCCUUCUGGACGGUAACUGACGCUGAGAUGCGAAAGCGUGGGGAGCAAAC
Molecule: ribosomal RNA, 423 nt
Filed under: uncultured bacterium
Lineage: Bacteria
Description: bacterial SSU rRNA
Rfam family: Bacterial small subunit ribosomal RNA
Source: RNAcentral